RNAcentral lists this long non-coding RNA (721 nucleotides) under Vulpes vulpes (red fox). RNAcentral describes it as "lncRNA (ENSVVUG00000011252.1)". Lineage: Eukaryota; Metazoa; Chordata; Mammalia; Carnivora; Canidae. The record is from RNAcentral.
CUGAAACAGGCAGGACAGCAUUUUUGUCUUUUCGGCUUGCUACACGACUUCCUCCAUUCUGUGACUUUCACUUCUGUUCUCUAGCUACCUCCUCUCAGGCCACAGCAACAUUUUCUUCUGAAGGUGUCCCUCUCUAGUAUCUCAAACUGCAUUCCCUUCUUAAUCAAACGCAACUUCUGACCUGCCCAUACUCAUGCUGUCUUCCUCCAAGAACUUCCAGAGGCCUCCCAGAGAUCUGACCCAUCUUCCCCUUAUCUGACAGCUCCCCUGUGACAGUACAGCCUUCUCCUUUGCCUCCUCUUCUGCCUAUGAGCUUCCAACUGGGGCUUCCAGGAGGCCGGGCUGUCCUCCCUGCAGAAUGGAAUACAGAGGCUCGGAGGGCUUGCUCCGAACCACACAUGGGCACCGACAGGUUCACCAGCUGAGCAGGAAUUUCAUUCUGUGGGAAGAGAAAGAUGAAAAAGGAAUUUGUGCCAAAAAACCCACACUACAGAAACAUAAAGUCCAGGGGACUCAGAUGUGCAGACCAGAUUCUUCAGACAGAGAGAAGAGGACCAAGGAAACACAAAAGGACAAGGAAGGAACAUUUUGGAAUAUGCCUUGAAAUAGAGGGUGCCUGGGUGGCUCAGUGGUUGAGCUCCUGCCUUCAGCUCAGGGUGUGAUCCUGGGGUCCUGGGAUGGAGUCCCACAUUGCGCUCCCUGCAUGGAGCCUGCUUCUCCC